RNAcentral lists this long non-coding RNA (244 nucleotides) under Mytilus galloprovincialis (Mediterranean mussel). The record is from RNAcentral. Lineage: Eukaryota; Metazoa; Mollusca; Bivalvia; Mytilida; Mytilidae.
CCGUUUGGCUGUGCGGGAUGUAUCAAGUUCGCAGUCACGUCCGGUCAGAAGGGGGACGUUAAAUCCGAUGCCUCGUGUAAAGAGAGUGCCACGCUCUUUGCACAUUAAGAACCCUUGCAACAACUCUUUGAGGGUCCGUAGGUGGCCUGUUGCAAGGCAAAAUUUCUGUCCCUAUCCAAUAUACCCUCAUUUUCCAGUGGCAGUCCAAAUUUUCCCGACCAUCAUCCUAGAUGGCCUCUAUUAC